This 253-nucleotide ribosomal RNA is filed under the name uncultured bacterium. RNAcentral's name for it is "partial 16S ribosomal RNA". It matches the Rfam family "Bacterial small subunit ribosomal RNA", at positions 524 to 776 of the family's 1533-position model. The record is from RNAcentral.
UACGGAGGAUCCAAGCGUUAUCCGGAUUUAUUGGGUUUAAAGGGUGCGUAGGCGGCCUAUUAAGUCAGGGGUGAAAGACGGUAGCUUAACUAUCGCAGUGCCUUUGAUACUGAUGGGCUUGAAUACACUAGAGGUAGGCGGAAUGUGACAAGUAGCGGUGAAAUGCAUAGAUACGUCACAGAACACCAAUUGCGAAGGCAGCUUACUAUGGUGCAAUUGACGCUGAGGCACGAAAGCGUGGGGAUCAAACAGG